CCAGCAGCCGCGGUAAUUCCAGCUCCAAUAGCGUAUAUUAAAGUUGUUGCAGUUAAAAAGCUCGUAGUUGAACCUUGGGCAAGGUGCAUCCGGUCGACCGAAAGGCCAGACUGGGUCGCCGAGCCUCUUUAGGGGGACUUGGGGCUUCGGCUUCAAGGCAACCCGUGUUACUGUGAAGAAAUUAGAGUGUUUAAAGCAGGCUAUCGCUUGAAUACAUCAGCAUGGAAUAACAAGAUAAGACACAUGUCUUCUUGUUGGUUAGGAGGCGUAUGUAAUGAUUAAUAGGGCCAGUUGGGGGCAUUAGUAUUCAGUAGUCAGAGGUGAAAUUCUUGGAUUUACUGAAG
Molecule: ribosomal RNA, 344 nt
Filed under: uncultured eukaryote
Lineage: Eukaryota
Description: SSU rRNA
Rfam family: Eukaryotic small subunit ribosomal RNA
Source: RNAcentral